AGAGUCAGGCCUGCAACCCUCCACCAUCACCCAAUGCCCGGUCCCUGUGCCCAGCUCACCUGUCUCUCCCCAGAUGGGCAGGUACUCAUCCUGCUGAAUGUCCAGCAUGAUCUCCAGCCCGUUGCCUGUCCCCCCCUUGACCGUGGUGAGCAGAGGUUUGCCAUCCUCGCCUGAGUUAAACAUGUAACACUUCCCAUAUUUUGUAAACACCUGAAGGAGAGAAGAGAGAGAGAGAGAGAAGCACAUGGGUAACUUCAGACGGGGGUCCAGAGAUUGGCGAGACCCCAGAAAUCUGACAGCAGGACCCAAGCGUUUUUUGACUGCAUCACUCUGGUUUCCUAGCUGGACUUCAGGAUUCCAGAUGACCUUCUCCAGCCCAUCCUCUAAGCUCCUGUCACACCAAGGGUGUCUAACAGCUGCGUGCAGGGUAAACAGACAGAUGCAUGAGCUAUGUGUGAGGACAGGUGCUUCAUGCUCCUGGGAGUCCUGUGAGGCUGGAGGAGGUCAUUCUCUCUGGGGCGGCCUGUCCUCUCCAAGAGGACCAUGAGUGGCCAUUG
Homo sapiens (human) is the source of this 557-nucleotide long non-coding RNA. NCBI's taxonomy places the organism in Eukaryota, Metazoa, Chordata, Mammalia, Primates, Hominidae. The record is from Ensembl.